AUUCAGAUCUUCCUGACUCCAGGCCCAGGAUUCUUUCUAUCCAUUGCACCACCCAGCUGCCCUGAAAUGAGACAGAGGACGUCUAAGAAUUCCUAAUGUAAAGACCAGAGAUAAAGUAUACGCAUAAUUUUCGUCUAGUAAAUUACAUACUUGCAACCUCACUGGCAUCAGAACGAGUAUCCCACCUACAGUUACCCUCCAGAUUCCGGUAGCAGUUUGGAAGAGAGCCAGUACCCUGUCUGUCCUUGAUGUCAUCUGAUGAUCCUGGACUAUUUCUGGAAAUUCUUGUAAGUGCCACCACUGAGCGCUUCAUCUGGGCAAUUUCUGAAAGGUGGGAACUUUUCAAGUAGGGACAGGAAAGAGAUCUGGGGCUAGAAAAAGAAGGAUCUUGUCCAGGACUAACAGAAGAUACCUCUUCUCCCCACAUUACCUUGACACUCCAGGCAGAGCAGGAAGAUGUGGGCAUGAGGGUGAGUGAGAACUAUGGGUGGAAGGGAUGUAAGCAGAUUUAAAAUGAAUUCUGUGACUAGAGGUAAAAGCCACUGUGGAGGCGAGGUUUAUGCAUGAUUGGGAAGGAGAGAAGAUCAAAGAACAAAGAACUCAAUCCAUCUAGUUUCUUGGAGAAUGGGAAAAGGCAUGGUCAACCUCAUGGUUAGCCAUUAAGGCAAGAUUUCAAUGUAAAGAAACAUCUUUACUCCCGUUGCUUCUAUCCUCCUGGAAUUCUUCUCCUACGUCUUGCUAGUUCCUUUCCCCACCAGUAGUACCAGGCACCCAUCCCCUUCAUAUCCAUCUCCUAGUUUCUAUCAAAUCCCAGGCUCUCCAGGUCUCAUCUAUACCCUUCCAUGAAGAGGAACACUUCCUGCUGCAAUUGCCAAGGGACUGCCAUGCUCUAAGCAGAAUUCUAGCACUUCGAUAGAUGUCCUAUCCUAGAUCCUAAAACACUAAGAACGUGAGAAGCAAAGCCGGAAGCUGAGGGAACUACAGGACAGAGUCACAGAGGAUAAAUAGCGAGCCAGGGUGACAUGGAACAACCACUCUCUAGUGGGAGAGGUAAGAGAGAGAGUAAAUCCUAGCCUCUUUCUUGGCUGGAGCCCUACCCAGGCCCUUACUAUGAAGUCACAGAGACUGUACAAAUCUCUAGGGUGAAGAGCAGCCCCAGUGGAGGAGGUUUAAAUAUGGUUUCUGAAGGGUUUAACUGUGGGUCCUUCUUAUAGCCAUUAAAUUUAAAUUAAACUAUUAUGUUUGGAAAAUGUCUUUGUACUGGCCGUCUCACCUGCCUAGAGUGCACUGACUCUUCACCUCCAUGGCUUAGUUUCCCAGACUUCUUUCAAGAAUAAGCUUAAAUCUCACCUUCUACCAGGGGCCUGUCUUUGUCCUUCCUUCACCCACGUCCAUCCCUGCUGCUGAGGCCUUCCCUUUUUCAUUAUUACCUUCGUAUACUCUGUAUGUCAUGUACUUUGUAUGUACUAUCUAUAUACU
Phascolarctos cinereus (koala) is the source of this 1479-nucleotide long non-coding RNA. RefSeq lists it as uncharacterized. The record is from RefSeq and is a predicted model, not a curated record. NCBI's taxonomy places the organism in Eukaryota, Metazoa, Chordata, Mammalia, Diprotodontia, Phascolarctidae.